Molecule: long non-coding RNA, 870 nt
Organism: Agrilus planipennis (emerald ash borer)
Lineage: Eukaryota; Metazoa; Arthropoda; Insecta; Coleoptera; Buprestidae
Exons: 5
Source: RefSeq, a predicted model, not a curated record
CCUACUCUUCAAUUAUACGAACAAACGUCGCGUUAUCUCGGCAUUGUCUCGAUUAUCACGGCGAAAAUCUGUGGCUUUUAGUUUACAGCUUUCAGUCAGCUGUAAUAGUGUUUUCCGUUGUGUUCGUAUGCCGGCGAACUUUAUAACAACUUUAGGCGGAAAUGUGCGUAAAACAUUAAACGCGUACUUUAAAAUCGAUUAAUGGUUUAUUGAUCAAUAAAUCGGUGUAACAGUCCAUUCCAUCAGUACGGAUGUUGGUUUCCUAUCGCUGGCUAAUCCCAUGGAAAAUCACCUUUACGUUUCGGAAUCAAGCUUACAGUGCCCAGGACUUCAGGCCAAGACAAGAUUGAUUUUGGACCACAUAUUGUCAGUUUUAUCAUCCCAACGCAGCAAAGGCAAAGAAGAUCUAGGAGAUAACCUGCAGUCUAAAUGGUGGACGAUCAAAGGCAAUGGAAAUGUACAGUUAAGCAGGACAUCAAGUCCAGCAGAAAACAUUAGCACUAUCAUGUCGAUGUCGUUUCUCUAAUGUAAACUCAAUCAAAGCAACAGGAACGUAAACGAAAUGAUUUGAAAUUGGGAUCAACCAGAGUCACACACUGUAAAGCUUCCCAGUACCAAUAAUGGUGUAAUCCAAUUCAAUAGAAAUGUGGAGUUUACAGAACAUUGAAAAGAGGAUAAUCAAGCUCCAAUUCAAAAGUCCACAUCACCCAAAGCAAGUUAUCAAGACAAAACAUGGAGGCAAGACUGACCCUCCAAAUCUACAAAACUACCCAAAGCUAAAGGUGGUCGUCCAAUCUAUUGGAGAUAUAAAGUCAACAAAGACAUGUAAGUACAUAUUUAUUAUAUCGUAGGCAGUUGAUUAAAAUUACA